Molecule: long non-coding RNA, 324 nt
Organism: Penaeus chinensis
Lineage: Eukaryota; Metazoa; Arthropoda; Malacostraca; Decapoda; Penaeidae
Exons: 2
Source: RefSeq, a predicted model, not a curated record
UCGUCGCCUCGCUCUCGCUGCCAUACCGCGUGUUGACUCUCUCGGUGGUCUUGCCAAAGUGCUAUCAUUUUCAUGUUGUUUUCUUUAUUUCGUUGUUUCUUUAUUUCUUAAAAUCUAGUGCUCCAUUCGAUUCGUGAUAUACCCUCUUUUGGACGUAAUCAUCGUCAACUAGAUAAACAUUUGAUCUCAAGAGGAAAAAGGUUCACCAGAGAAAAAAAGGAAAAAAAAAGUUUAGAAAUCAGCAGCGACCAACGACUAGAAAAUGUCGACGAACGAGGAGAGAAAGGAAGGAUAUUCGAAGAACAGGGCGUUGUGCAAAUAAGA